This 166-nucleotide ribosomal RNA is filed under the name Kalyptogaster erronea. Its description in RNAcentral is "partial 18S ribosomal RNA". It matches the Rfam family "Eukaryotic small subunit ribosomal RNA", at positions 1677 to 1831 of the family's 1831-position model. The record is from RNAcentral. Lineage: Eukaryota; Metazoa; Arthropoda; Insecta; Odonata; Cordulegastridae.
CGCUCUUCCGAUGAAUGAUUUAGUGAGGCCUUCGGACUGGUGCGCGGCACUCGCCGUUUAACCGCGGCGGUGCCGCCGUUGCCGGAAAGAUGGCCAAACUUGAUCAUUUAGAGGAAGUAAAAGUCGUAACAAGGUUUCCGUAGGUGAACCUGCGGAAGGAUCAUUA